RNAcentral lists this ribosomal RNA (253 nucleotides) under uncultured bacterium. RNAcentral's name for it is "partial 16S ribosomal RNA". It matches the Rfam family "Bacterial small subunit ribosomal RNA", at positions 524 to 776 of the family's 1533-position model. The record is from RNAcentral.
UACGAAGGGGGCUAGCGUUGCUCGGAAUGACUGGGCGUAAAGGGCGCGUAGGCGGUUUGUACAGUCAGGUGUGAAAUUCCCGGGCUCAACCUGGGGGCUGCACUUGAUACGUAUGGACUGGAGUGGGGAAGAGGGUCGUGGAAUUCCCAGUGUAGAGGUGAAAUUCGUAGAUAUUGGGAAGAACACCGGUGGCGAAGGCGGCGACCUGGUCCUUGACUGACGCUGAGGCGCGAAAGUGUGGGGAUCAAACAGG